UCUUUUUUAGGUUAAGGAAACCUUUAGUUUGUGGUAUUAAAAUUAUAAUUUAUUUAUAAAAAGAA
RNAcentral lists this transfer RNA (65 nucleotides) under Benedenia hoshinai. RNAcentral describes it as "tRNA-His". The record is from RNAcentral. Lineage: Eukaryota; Metazoa; Platyhelminthes; Monogenea; Capsalidea; Capsalidae.